RNAcentral lists this ribosomal RNA (253 nucleotides) under uncultured bacterium. RNAcentral's name for it is "partial 16S ribosomal RNA". It matches the Rfam family "Bacterial small subunit ribosomal RNA", at positions 524 to 776 of the family's 1533-position model. The record is from RNAcentral.
GACGAAGGACCCGAGCGCUAUCCGGAUUCAUUGGGUUUAAAGGGUGCGUAGGCGGAUUGAUAAGUCAGUGGUGAAAGCCUGUUGCUUAACAACAGAACUGCCAUUGAUACUGUUGAUCUUGAAUAUGUUUGAUGUGGGCGGAGUAUGACAUGUAGCGGUGAAAUGCUUAGAUAUGCCAUAGAACACCGAUUGCGAAGGCAGCUCACAAAGCCAUUAUUGACGCUGAGGCACGAAAGCGUGGGGAUCAAACAGG